GCUUCUGUAGCUCAGUUGGGUUAUAUAGAGCGCUGCACCGGAAUCGCAGGGCCGCAGGUUCGAUUCCUGCCAAUUA
Molecule: non-coding RNA, 76 nt
Organism: Paramuricea clavata
Lineage: Eukaryota; Metazoa; Cnidaria; Anthozoa; Malacalcyonacea; Plexauridae
Source: the annotation of a GenBank genome assembly